GUGACUGCGUACCUUUUGUAUAAUGGGUCAGCGACUUAUAUUCUGUAGCAAGGUUAACCGUAUAGGGGAGCCGAAGGGAAACCGAGUCUUAACUGGGCGUUAAGUUGCAGGGUAUAGACCCGAAACCCGGUGAUCUAGCCAUGGGCAGGUUGAAGGUUGGGUAACACUAACUGGAGGACCGAACCGACUAAUGUUGAAAAAUUAGCGGAUGACCUGUGGCUGGGGGUGAAAGGCCAAUCAAACCGGGAGAUAGCUGGUUCUCCCCGAAAGCUAUUUAGGUAGCGCCUCGUGAACUCAUCUUCGGGGGUAGAGCACUGUUUCGGCUAGGGGGCCAUCCCGGCUUACCAACCCGAUGCAAACUACGAAUACCGAAGAAUGUUAUCACGGGAGACACACGGCGGGUGCUAACGUCCGUCGUGAAGAGGGAAACAACCCAGACCGCCAGCUAAGGUCCCAAAGUCAUGGUUAAGUGGGAAACGAUGUGGGAAGGCACAGACAGCCAGGAUGUUGGCUUAGAAGCAGCCAUCAUUUAAAGAAAGCGUAAUAGCUCACUGGUCGAGUCGGCCUGCGCGGAAGAUGUAACGGGGCUAAACCAUGCACCGAAGCUGCGGCAGCGACACUAUGUGUUGUUGGGUAGGGGAGCGUUCUGUAAGCCGUUGAAGGUGUGCUGUGAGGCAUGCUGGAGGUAUCAGAAGUGCGAAUGCUGACAUAAGUAACGAUAAAGCGGGUGAAAAGCCCGCUCGCCGGAAGACCAAGGGUUCCUGUCCAACGUUAAUCGGGGCAGGGUGAGUCGACCCCUAAGGCGAGGCCGAAAGGCGUAGUCGAUGGGAAACAGGUUAAUAUUCCUGUACUUGGUGUUACUGCGAAGGGGGGACGGAGAAGGCUAUGUCAGCCGGGCGACGGUUGUCCCGGUUUAAGCAUGUAGGCGGAGGU
RNAcentral lists this ribosomal RNA (933 nucleotides) under Enterobacter hormaechei. RNAcentral's name for it is "partial 23S ribosomal RNA". It matches the Rfam family "Bacterial large subunit ribosomal RNA", at positions 593 to 1531 of the family's 2925-position model. RNAcentral also lists the same sequence under 1 other name. Lineage: Bacteria; Pseudomonadati; Pseudomonadota; Gammaproteobacteria; Enterobacterales; Enterobacteriaceae. The record is from RNAcentral.